UACCAAGAGGGGAUUGAUCUGCUCCUGCAGGUUCGGAAAGGAUCCAGAGAGAGACCAUUGUGAAGUGGGAGCAGAGACCAGUAGAGCCCUAAACAGGUGUGGCAGCAGACGCAACGACCUCAUCUCCAGUGUUCCUAAACAUUGUCCUUUGAUAAGGCAUCCAAGAUCAUACUAAGAGAUGUUACCUCAGAGAAAAAAUUACUCACUACAUGGAUAGAGCAGAAGACAUAAAGAAAUACUUGGAUCAAGUAAAAGAAGAUGGAAAAUAUCACAAACAAAUUAAGAUAGAAGAGAAUGCAACAGGUUUUGGUUAUGAGUCACUUUUUAAAGAAUACCUUAAUGGGAC
Molecule: long non-coding RNA, 346 nt
Organism: Octodon degus (degu)
Lineage: Eukaryota; Metazoa; Chordata; Mammalia; Rodentia; Octodontidae
Exons: 4
Source: RefSeq, a predicted model, not a curated record